UACUUAGUGGCGGACGGGUGAGUAACGCGUGGGCAACCUGCCCCGUGCCGGGGGAUACCGCCUGGAAACAGGCGCUAAUACCGCAUAAGCGCAUACAGCCGCAUGGCAGUAUGCGGAAAGCUCCGGCGGCACGGGACGGGCCCGCGCCCGAUUAGCCAGUUGGCGGGGUAACGGCCCACCAAAGCGACGAUCGGUAGCCGGCCUGAGAGGGCGGACGGCCACAUUGGGACUGAGACACGGCCCAAACUCCUACGGAAGGCAGCAG
RNAcentral lists this ribosomal RNA (265 nucleotides) under uncultured bacterium. Its description in RNAcentral is "partial 16S ribosomal RNA". It matches the Rfam family "Bacterial small subunit ribosomal RNA", at positions 89 to 354 of the family's 1533-position model. The record is from RNAcentral.